GAUGAAGAACCCAGCGAAAUGCGAUAAGUAGUGUGAAUUGCAGAAUUCAGUGAAUCAUCGAAUCUUUGAACGCACAUUGCGCCCCAUGGUAUUCCGUGGGGCAUGCCUGUUCGAGCGUCAUUUACCCCCUCAAGCUCCGCUUGGUGUUGGGCGUCUGUCCCGCUUCGCGCGCGGACUCGCCCCAAAGGUAUUGGCAGCGGUCGUGCCAGCUUCUCGCGCAGCACAUUGCGCUUCUCGAGGCACCGGUGGGCCCGCGUCCAUCAAGCUCACCCCCCCAGUUUGACCUCGGAUCAGGUAGGGAUACCCGCUGAACUUAAGCAUAUCAAUAAGCGGAGGA
RNAcentral lists this unclassified non-coding RNA (337 nucleotides) under soil metagenome. RNAcentral's name for it is "partial contains 5.8S ribosomal RNA, internal transcribed spacer 2, and large subunit ribosomal RNA". The stretch from base 1 to 120 matches the Rfam family "5.8S ribosomal RNA", at positions 35 to 154 of the family's 154-position model. The record is from RNAcentral.